Molecule: ribosomal RNA, 940 nt
Filed under: uncultured bacterium
Lineage: Bacteria
Description: bacterial SSU rRNA
Rfam family: Bacterial small subunit ribosomal RNA
Source: RNAcentral
ACUCCUACGGGAGGCAGCAGCAAGGAAUCUUGGGCAAUGAGCGAAAGCUUGACCCAGCGACACCGCGUGAGGGAUGAAGGCCUUCGGGUUGUAAACCUCUUUUCUUGGGGAAGAAUUCUGACGGUACCCAAGGAAUAAGCCUCGGCUAACUACGUGCCAGCAGCCGCGGUAAUACGUAGGAGGCGAACGUUAUUCGGAUUUACUGGGCGUAAAGGGAGCGUAGGCGGUUCCUUAAGUCAGAUGUGAAAUCUUCUGAUUCAAUCAGAAGGCGUCAUUUGAUACUGAGGGACUUGAGAAUAGCAGAGGGAAAUGGAAUCCCCAGUGUAGCGGUGAAAUGCGUAGAUAUUGGGGAGAACACCAGUGGCGAAGGCGAUUUUCCAGGUUAUUUCUGACGCUGAGGCUCGAAAGCGUGGGGAGCGAAGCGGAUUAGAUACCCGCGUAGUCCACGCCCUAAACGGUGGACACUAGACAUGGGAGGUAUCGACCCUUUCUGUGUCGAAGCUAACGCCUUAAGUGUCCCGCCUGGGGAGUACGGCCGCAAGGCUAGAACUCAAAGGAAUUGACGGGGGUCCGCACAAGCAGCGGAGCGUGUGGUUUAAUUCGAUGCUACACGAAGAACCUUACCAGGGUUUGACAUGGCAGAAGUAGGAAUCCGAAAGGAGGACGACCUGUAUCCAGUCAGGAGCUGUCACAGGUGCUGCAUGGCUGUCGUCAGCUCGUGCCGUGAGGUGUUGGGUUAAGUCCCGCAACGAGCGCAACCCUUGUCCUAUGUUAAAUUCUCAUAGGAGACUGCCUUGUACAGCAAGGAGGAAGGAAAGGAUGACGUCAAGUCAGCAUGGCCUUUAUAUCCUGGGCUACACACACGCUACAAUGGGUGAUACAAAGGGUCGCCAAGGAGUGAUCCGGANCUAACCCCCUAAAAUCAUCCUCAGUUCGGANU